Long non-coding RNA from Oreochromis aureus, 763 nucleotides. RefSeq lists it as uncharacterized. NCBI's taxonomy places the organism in Eukaryota, Metazoa, Chordata, Actinopteri, Cichliformes, Cichlidae. The record is from RefSeq and is a predicted model, not a curated record. The transcript is spliced from 4 exons.
GCGCAGGGUGAAAAGGCAUGGUAGCGACAGAGACCGAGCUGCUACCCCCCGGGUACUGGCCAUCGUUGUGGGGCCGAACUGUUUCGACAUCACAAGCGCUGAUCGGGUGAAGCGUCUGUAGUCACGCUUCAUGGCGGUCCCUCUCUGUUCCUGCCGGCGGCUCUUCAUCAUGGCCUUGUACUCGCCCACCCGCAGCCGUCGUCCCUCCACUAUGCAGGUCCGUUUGGGCCGGGGUUUGUAUUUGUAGUCGGGGUAGCGCUCCAGAUGCUGCCUGCUCAGCCUCGCCUGCUCUUCGUAGUAAGGCUGCUUCUCCUGGUUAGACAUGGCUUUCCACCUGGAGCCUACAGACAAAGACGCACCAACACAAAGGAGUGACUUCAUGCUCUCCAGCAGCAGAAGCUGUCGUGGCUCGCCAUGUUUCAUUUCUUGUGGGGUUUUCGAAGUAUUUGUCCCAUGUUUUAUGUGCUACUCUGCCUGCAUCUACAUGUUGUCUUACUUUGGUAAUUAUCUUUCCUUGCACACCUUUUGUUAUUUUACUUCCUUUUUGUCUCCCCUCCUUUGUAAUCGUCAGCCCUGCCCUCAUUGUCCCACCUGUUCCCAAUUAGAUCCCUGUUUAUUUAUCCCGUCCUUCAGUCUUUUUGUCACUCUUUCAGUUUUUCCAUCUGUUUACUCUCCUGGAUUCCCGUUUCUCGAUUAACCCAACCUCGGAGUUGUUUCCCCCUCAUUGUUCUCUGCUGGAUGGCAACUUAUGGAGCUGUACUGA